GAGUUCGUAGCUUGAUUGGUAAAUCGUCUGCUUUCUAUGCUGAAGGUUGGGGUUCGAUUCCACACGAACAAUUUUUUUUCU
RNAcentral lists this transfer RNA (81 nucleotides) under Trichonephila inaurata madagascariensis. RNAcentral's name for it is "tRNA-Arg". The stretch from base 3 to 69 matches the Rfam family "tRNA". From Rfam's summary of the family: Transfer RNA (tRNA) molecules are approximately 80 nucleotides in length. Lineage: Eukaryota; Metazoa; Arthropoda; Arachnida; Araneae; Nephilidae. The record is from RNAcentral.